Molecule: ribosomal RNA, 618 nt
Filed under: Debaryomyces hansenii
Lineage: Eukaryota; Fungi; Ascomycota; Pichiomycetes; Serinales; Debaryomycetaceae
Description: LSU rRNA
Rfam family: Eukaryotic large subunit ribosomal RNA
Source: RNAcentral
UAAUGCAGGCAUUGCUUAGUACGGCGAGUGAAGCGGCAAAAGCUCAAAUUUGAAAUCUGGCACCUUCGGUGUCCGAGUUGUAAUUUGAAGAAGGUAACUUUGGAGUUGGCUCUUGUCUAUGUUCCUUGGAACAGGACGUCACAGAGGGUGAGAAUCCCGUGCGAUGAGAUGCCCAAUUCUAUGUAAAGUGCUUUCGAAGAGUCGAGUUGUUUGGGAAUGCAGCUCUAAGUGGGUGGUAAAUUCCAUCUAAAGCUAAAUAUUGGCGAGAGACCGAUAGCGAACAAGUACAGUGAUGGAAAGAUGAAAAGAACUUUGAAAAGAGAGUGAAAAAGUACGUGAAAUUGUUGAAAGGGAAGGGCUUGAGAUCAGACUUGGUAUUUUGCGAUCCUUUCCUUCUUGGUUGGGUUCCUCGCAGCUUACUGGGCCAGCAUCGGUUUGGAUGGUAGGAUAAUGACUAAGGAAUGUGGCUCUACUUCGGUGGAGUGUUAUAGCCUUGGUUGAUACUGCCUGUCUAGACCGAGGACUGCGUCUUUUGACUAGGAUGUUGGCAUAAUGAUCUUAAGCCACCCGUCUGAACACACGGGGCCAAAAAAAAACAGCAAAAGAACGGACCAAGCG